AUACGUAGGGAGCGAGCGUUGUCCGGAAUUACUGGGCGUAACGGGCGCGCAGGCUGCGAUUCAAGUCAACUGUCAAAUCCCGGGGCUUAACCCCGGCAUGCAGUUGAAACUGAUUUGCUCGAGGCGCCGAGCGGCAGACAGACUUCCUGGUGUAGCGGGGAAAUGCGUAGAUAUCCGGAAGAAUACCAGUGGCGAAGGCGGUCGGCUGGCUGCGAACUGACGCUCAAGCGCGAAAGCCAGGGGAGCAAACGGGAUUAGAUACCCCGGUAGGCCUGGCAGUAAACGAUGUAUGCUGGGUGUGAGAUCAGCGAUGAUUUCGUGCCGAAGUUAACGCGAUAAGCAUACCGCCUGGGGAGUACGGUCGCAAGAUUGAAACUCAAAUGAAUGGGCGGGG
RNAcentral lists this ribosomal RNA (394 nucleotides) under uncultured bacterium. Its description in RNAcentral is "partial 16S ribosomal RNA". It matches the Rfam family "Bacterial small subunit ribosomal RNA", at positions 523 to 918 of the family's 1533-position model. The record is from RNAcentral.